UACGUAGGGGGCAAGCGUUGUCCGGAAUCAUUGGGCGUAAAGCGCUCGUAGGCGGCCCGGUAAGUCCGCUGUAAAAGUCCAGGGCUCAACCCUGGAAAGCCGGUGGAUACUGUCGGGCUAGAGUCCGGAAGAGGCGAGUGGAAUUCCUGGUGUAGCGGUGGAAUGCGCAGAUAUCAGGAGGAACACCGAUGGCGAAGGCAGCUCGCUGGGACGGUACUGACGCUGAGGCGCGAAAGCGUGGGGAGCGAACAGG
RNAcentral lists this ribosomal RNA (253 nucleotides) under uncultured bacterium. RNAcentral describes it as "partial 16S ribosomal RNA". It matches the Rfam family "Bacterial small subunit ribosomal RNA", at positions 524 to 776 of the family's 1533-position model. The record is from RNAcentral.